AAUGAACGUUGGCGGCAUGGAUUAGGCAUGCAAGUCGGGGGAAUCCCAGCAAUGGGGGAACCGGCGUAAGGGGCAGUAAGGCAUGGGUACCUACCUUGGGGUUCGGGAUAGCCAUCAGAGAUGGUGGGUAAUACCGGAUGACGUCGUGAGACCAAAGAUUUAUCGCCCUUAGAGGGGCCCAUGUGAUAUUAGCUAGUUGGUGGGGUAACGGCCCACCAAGGCGAAGAUGUCUAGCGGGUGUGAGAGCACGACCCGCGCCACUCGCACUGAGACAGUGGGGAGACACCUACGGGUGGCUGCAGGCGAGGAUCUUCGGCAAUGAGCGCAAGCUUGACCGAGCGAUGCCGCGUGAGCGAUGAAGGCCUUCGGGUUGUAAAGCUCUUUAGUGGGGGAGAAAAGCCGCAAGGUGUGAUCUAUCCCAAAAAUAAGCACGGGCUAAGUUCGUGCCAGCCGCCGCGGUAA
Molecule: ribosomal RNA, 462 nt
Filed under: uncultured bacterium
Lineage: Bacteria
Description: partial 16S ribosomal RNA
Rfam family: Bacterial small subunit ribosomal RNA
Source: RNAcentral